AAAGAUUAAGCCAUGCAUGUCUAAGUAUAAGCAACUAUACGGUGAAACUGCGAAUGGCUCAUUAAAUCAGUUAUCGUUUAUUUGAUAGUACCUUACUACAUGGAUAACCGUGGUAAUUCUAGAGCUAAUACAUGCUAAAAACCUCGACUUCGGAAGGGGUGUAUUUAUUAGAUAAAAAACCAAUGCCCUUCGGGGCUCCUUGGUGAAUCAUAAUAACUUAACGAAUCGCAUGGCCUUGCGCCGGCGAUGGUUCAUUCAAAUUUCUGCCCUAUCAACUUUCGAUGGUAGGAUAGUGGCCUACCAUGGUAUCAACGGGUAACGGGGAAU
This 327-nucleotide ribosomal RNA is filed under the name uncultured fungus. Its description in RNAcentral is "SSU rRNA". It matches the Rfam family "Eukaryotic small subunit ribosomal RNA", at positions 39 to 370 of the family's 1831-position model. Lineage: Eukaryota; Fungi. The record is from RNAcentral.